CCUACGGGCGGCAGCAGUAGGGAAUAUUGCUCAAUGGGGGAAACCCUGAAGCAGCAACGCCGCGUGGAGGAUGAAGGUUUUCGGAUUGUAAACUCCUUUUGUUAGAGAAGAUAAUGACGGUAUCUAACGAAUAAGCACCGGCUAACUCCGUGCCAGCAGCCGCGGUAAUACGGAGGGUGCAAGCGUUACUCGGAAUCACUGGGCGUAAAGAGAGCGUAGGCGGGAUAGCAAGUCAGAUGUGAAAUCCUAUGGCUUAACCAUAGAACUGCAUUUGAAACUGUUAUGCUAGAGUAUGGGAGAGGUAGGUGGAAUUCUUGGUGUAGGGGUAAAAUCCGUAGAGAUCAAGAGGAAUACUGAUUGCGAAGGCGACCUGCUAGAACAUAACUGACGCUGAUGCGCGAAAGCGUGGGGAGCAAACAGGAUUAGAUACCCCUGUAGUC
RNAcentral lists this ribosomal RNA (440 nucleotides) under uncultured bacterium. RNAcentral's name for it is "partial 16S ribosomal RNA". It matches the Rfam family "Bacterial small subunit ribosomal RNA", at positions 338 to 795 of the family's 1533-position model. The record is from RNAcentral.